This 255-nucleotide long non-coding RNA is filed under the name Sus scrofa (pig). RNAcentral describes it as "lncRNA (ENSSSCG00070001106.1)". Lineage: Eukaryota; Metazoa; Chordata; Mammalia; Artiodactyla; Suidae. The record is from RNAcentral.
AGAGGAGGAGAAGGGAAGUCGGGGACGUCGGUCAUGUCUAGGCGCUGGUGUUCUGGGGUGUCAGGCAGAGUGGAAGGAGAGGAGGAGAAGGGAAGUCGGGGACGUCGGUCAUGUCUAGGCGCUGGUGUUCUGGGUGAGUGAGUGCCCUUUGUUAAAUCUAUUCCUGUUUUGAUCAAGAUCUUGAGAUCUUCCAUGUUGCUUGACUCACCUCUACUCUUUAAGAAACAUUUCUUUUGUCUAUUCUGGCAGCCACUG